UUUGCAGCACUUGGGAACUGUAAUCAAGUCUCGCAUCCCAGGCCUCCAGUCGAUAAUUAAUAAAAGUAUUGCUGAACUAGAGGCGGAAUUGAGUCGUUUUGGCAAGCCUGUUGCUUUUGAUGGUGGAGGUAAACUGUACCUGAUUAUGGAGAUUUGUCAUCUUUAUGAUGGAAUUUACAAAGAACAUCUUGACGGCAUGUAUGUAGCUGGUAGAUUGGAAUGUAGCUGGUGUUACUUUCUGGUAGAUUGGAAUGUAGCUGCCCCUGCCCACACAUGAACGACGUUCUUUGUCGUAUGUGAACCAGGGACACAACACAUGGAUGCUCUACUUGAUAUCAUUUAUGAAGUAUUGGCUAAGUUCAUCGUCAUCGGAGGAGCUUAU
Molecule: long non-coding RNA, 382 nt
Organism: Papaver somniferum (opium poppy)
Lineage: Eukaryota; Viridiplantae; Streptophyta; Magnoliopsida; Ranunculales; Papaveraceae
Exons: 3
Source: RefSeq, a predicted model, not a curated record